RNAcentral lists this ribosomal RNA (460 nucleotides) under uncultured bacterium. Its description in RNAcentral is "partial 16S ribosomal RNA". It matches the Rfam family "Bacterial small subunit ribosomal RNA", at positions 338 to 795 of the family's 1533-position model. The record is from RNAcentral.
CCUACGGGAGGCAGCAGUGAGGAAUAUUGGUCAAUGGACGAGAGUCUGAACCAGCCAAGUAGCGUGAAGGAUGACUGCCCUAUGGGUUGUAAACUUCUUUUAUAUGGGAAUAAAAUGUUCCACGUGUGGGAUUUUGUAUGUACCAUAUGAAUAAGGAUCGGCUAACUCCGUGCCAGCAGCCGCGGUAAUACGGAGGAUCCGAGCGUUGUCCGGAUUUAUUGGGUUUAAAGGGAGCGUAGGUGGAUUGUUAAGUCAGUUGUGAAAGUUUGCGGCUCAACCGUAAAAUUGCAGUUGAAACUGGCAGUCUUGAGUACAGUAGAGGUGGGCGGAAUUCGUGGUGUAGCGGUGAAAUGCUUAGAUAUCACGAAGAACUCCGAUUGCGAAGGCAGUUCACUGGACUGCAACUGACACUGAGGCUCGAAAGUGUGGGUAUCAAACAGGAUUAGAUACCCGUGUAGUC